Molecule: microRNA precursor, 60 nt
Filed under: Pongo abelii (Sumatran orangutan)
Lineage: Eukaryota; Metazoa; Chordata; Mammalia; Primates; Hominidae
Description: miRNA
Source: RNAcentral
CGCUGGGUCCGUGCGCCCCGGGCCCGGCGAUGUCCGCUUGGGGGAGCGAGGGGCGGGGCG